CACUUCACUACACCUGUACCCUCAGUACAUGAUUUUAUUUCUCACCAACAUUGACAGUAUUUGAGAGUAGAAAAACUUUAGCAUUAAAGUAAAAGGGCCCUUGUAUUAAUGCUCAAGUUUGUACAUAUAUUUACAGUCAGCACUCCAAGCGAUAACGUUGCGAAAUUAUAAUCAAUGGUAUUGAAUUUUUGACUU
Molecule: long non-coding RNA, 195 nt
Organism: Maniola jurtina (meadow brown)
Lineage: Eukaryota; Metazoa; Arthropoda; Insecta; Lepidoptera; Nymphalidae
Exons: 3
Source: RefSeq, a predicted model, not a curated record